AACGAACGCUGGCGGCGUGCCUAACACAUGCAAGUCGAGCGAGAAAGCCCGCAAGGGUGAGUACAGCGGCGCACGGGUGCGUAACACGUGGGUAAUCUGCCCUGAAGUCCGGAAUAACUCGCCGAAAGGCGUGCUAAUGCCGGAUGAGACCACGGGAGCUUCGGCUCCUGCGGGAAAAGGUGGCCUCUGUAUACAAGCUAUCACUUCAGGAUGAGCCCGCGGCCCAUCAGCUCGUUGGCGGGGUAAUGGCCCACCAAGGCUACGACGGGUAGCUGGUCUGAGAGGACGAUCAGCCACACUGGAACUGAGACACGGUCCAGACUCCUACGGGAGGCAGCAGUGGGGAAUCUUGCGCAACGGGCGAAAGCCUGACGCAGCAACGCCGCGUGUGUGAUGAAGGUCUUCGGAUCGUAAAGCACUGUCGCGAGGGACGAAUAAGGGGCGGGCUAACAUCCCGUUCCGAUGACGGUACCUCGAGAGGAAGCACCGGCUAACUCUGUGCCAGCAGCCGCGGUAAUACAGAGGGUGCAAGCGUUGUUCGGAAUUAUUGGGCGUAAAGCGCGUGUAGGCGGCUUUGUAAGUUGGGUGUGAAAGCCCUCGGCUUAACCGAGGAAGUGCGCCCAAAACUGCAUGGCUUGAGUACCGGAGAGGGUGGCGGAAUUCCCGGUGUAGAGGUGAAAUUCGUAGAUAUCGGGAGGAACACCAGCGGCGAAGGCGGCCACCUGGACGGAUACUGACGCUGAGACGCGAAAGCGUGGGGAGCAAACAGGAUUAGAUACCCUGGUAGUCCACGCUGUAAACGAUGAGCGCUAGGUGUUGUGGGUGUUGACCCCUGCAGUGCCGCAGCUAACGCAUUAAGCGCUCCGCCUGGGAAGUACGGCCGCAAGGCUA
Molecule: ribosomal RNA, 891 nt
Filed under: uncultured bacterium
Lineage: Bacteria
Description: bacterial SSU rRNA
Rfam family: Bacterial small subunit ribosomal RNA
Source: RNAcentral